This is a ribosomal RNA of 1144 nucleotides. It matches the Rfam family "Bacterial large subunit ribosomal RNA", at positions 700 to 2564 of the family's 2925-position model.
CAUCAGUUUGACCCCCCGAAACUAAGCGAGCUACCUCAAAACAGCUUACCGAGCUAACCCGUCUCUGUUGCAAAAGAGUGGGAUGAUUUUUAGGUAGAGGUGAAAAGCCUACCGAGCUUAGAGAUAGCUGGUUAUUCAGGAAAAGAAUUUUAGUUCAACCCUAAGCCUUCCCCUUACACCCGAUAAGCCCACCCGGCUUAGGAGCUAUUCAAAUAAGGCACAGCUUAUUUGACAAAGGAGACAUCCUACAAAAAAGGGUAAAACCCCCCCCCGCACUAAGUAAGUGGGCCCGAAAGCAGCCAUCUUUAAGAAAGCGUUAAAGCUCUAUUUUUAUCUUUAAACUAAUAUCUGUCAAGACAUUAAACCCUUUAAUCCUACUGAGUGACUCUAUAAAGAUAUAGAAAUCCUAAUGCUAAAACUAGUAACAAGAAAUUGAUAUUCUCCAAAAUACAAGUAUAAGUCAAAAUGGACAAGCCAUUGACAAUUAACACUACUGAUCGGAAUGUAGCAACAAAACAAGAAAACCCUACAAACUUCUAUGUUAACCUUACACAAGUGUAUUUCUGGAAAGAUUAAAAAAAAGGGAAGGAACUCGGCAAAUAUCAGCCCCGCCUGUUUACCAAAAACACCGCCUCUUGAUCCUCAUAAGAGGUCCAGCCUGCCCAGUGACAUGAUUAAACGGCCGCGGUACCCUGACCGUGCAAAGGUAGCAUAAUCACUUGUCCUCUAAAUAAGGACUUGUAUCAACGGCAUCACGAGGGUUAUACUGUCUCCCCUUUUUAAUCAGUGAAACUGACUUCCCCGUGAAGAGGCGGGAAUAAAAGUACAAGACGAGAAGACCCCAUGGAGCUUUAAACCCAAUAAUACCUUCUACUUACUAUAGCUGCUUAAUCAAGAAGGCCUAUCUAUUGGUUUUAGGUUGGGGUGACCCUGGAGUAAAACUAAGCCUCCAUGACGAAUGGAUUUACCUUAAUCUAAGAGCAACUGCUCAAUGAAUCAAAAUUUUGACGUAGCUGAUCCGCUUAGCGAUCAACGAACCAAGUUACCCUGGGGAUAACAGCGCAAUCCAUUUCAAGAGCCCCUAUCGACAAAUGGGUUUACGACCUCGAUGUUGGAUCAGGGUAUCCUAGUGGUGCAGCGGCUA